GAUGGAAUGCCUGAAAAAGGAUUAUUUUGAUAGAAUAAAACAUGUAUAAUUUUUAUACUUCCAUUG
Molecule: transfer RNA, 66 nt
Filed under: Nesophrosyne sp. 246 GMB-2012
Lineage: Eukaryota; Metazoa; Arthropoda; Insecta; Hemiptera; Cicadellidae
Description: tRNA-Ile
Source: RNAcentral